RNAcentral lists this Y RNA (108 nucleotides) under Propithecus coquereli (Coquerel's sifaka). RNAcentral describes it as "Y RNA (ENSPCOG00000001829.1)". It matches the Rfam family "Y RNA". Rfam says of the family: Y RNAs are components of the Ro ribonucleoprotein particle (Ro RNP), in association with Ro60 and La proteins. The Y RNAs and Ro60 and La proteins are well conserved, but the function of the Ro RNP is not known. In humans the RNA component can be one of four small RNAs -- hY1, hY3, hY4 and hY5. The record is from Rfam by way of RNAcentral. Lineage: Eukaryota; Metazoa; Chordata; Mammalia; Primates; Indriidae.
GGCUGGUCCAAAGGUAGUGAGUUAUCUCGAUUGUUCACAGUCAGUUACAGAUCCAACUCCUGUUCUUCUCUUUUCCCCCUUCUCACUACUGCACUUGACUAGUCUUAA